Molecule: small RNA, 27 nt
Filed under: Bombyx mori (domestic silkworm)
Lineage: Eukaryota; Metazoa; Arthropoda; Insecta; Lepidoptera; Bombycidae
Description: ovarian small RNA-21600
Source: RNAcentral
UACUUAUGAGGACCUGUAUAUGCUGGC